AACGAACGCUGGCGGCAUGCCUAACACAUGCAAGUCGAACGAGACCUUCGGGUCUAGUGGCGCACGGGUGCGUAACGCGUGGGAACCUGCCCUUAGGUUCGGAAUAACUCCCCGAAAGGGGUGCUAAUACCGGAUAAUGUCUUCGGACCAAAGAUUUAUCGCCUUUGGAUGGGUCCGCGUUGGAUUAGCUAGUUGGUAGGGUAAAAGCCUACCAAGGCGACGAUCCAUAGCUGGUCUGAGAGGAUGAUCAGCCACACUGGGACUGAGACACGGCUCAGACUCCUACGGGAGGCAGCAGUGGGGAAUAUUGGACAAUGGGCGAAAGCCUGAUCCAGCAAUGCCGCGUGAGUGAUGAAGGCCUUAGGGUUGUAAAGCUCUUUUACCCGGGAUGAUAAUGACAGUACCGGGAGAAUAAGCUCCGGCUAACUCCGUG
This 433-nucleotide ribosomal RNA is filed under the name uncultured bacterium. RNAcentral's name for it is "partial 16S ribosomal RNA". It matches the Rfam family "Bacterial small subunit ribosomal RNA", at positions 29 to 507 of the family's 1533-position model. The record is from RNAcentral.